UGAACCUACGGGAGGCAGCAGUGAGGAAUAUUGGUCAAUGGUCGGGAGACUGAACCAGCCAAGCCGCGUGAGGGAUGAAGGUACAGAGUAUCGUAAGCCUCUUUUGUCAGGGAACAAAGGCGGGGACGUGUCCCCGGAUGAGUGUACCUGAAGAAAAAGCAUCGGCUAACUCCGUGCCAGCAGCCGCGGUAAUACGGAGGAUGCGAGCGUUAUCCGGAUUUAUUGGGUUUAAAGGGGGCGCAGACGGUCUGUUAAGUCAGCGGUCAAAGCCCGGGGCUCAACCCCGGCCCGCCGGUGAAACUGGG
Molecule: ribosomal RNA, 305 nt
Filed under: uncultured bacterium
Lineage: Bacteria
Description: bacterial SSU rRNA
Rfam family: Bacterial small subunit ribosomal RNA
Source: RNAcentral